AGCAGCCGCGGUAAUUCCAGCUCCAAUAGCGUAUAUUAAAGUUGUUGCAGUUAAAAAGCUCGUAGUUGAAUUUCGGGAUCAGACUGUCGGUCGUGCCUCGGUACGCACUGGCAUUAUUGGUUCCUACCUUCUGAAGAACCGUGAUGUCAUUAAUUUGGUGUCGCGGGGAAUCAGGACUGUUACUUUGGAAAAAUUAGAGUGUUUAAAGCAGGCUUACGCUUGAAUACAUUAGCAUGGAAUAAUGAAAUAGGACGUUUGAUUCUAUUUUGUUGGUUUCUAGGAUCGACGUAAUGAUUAAUAGGGAUAGUUGGGGGCAUUAGUAUUCAAUUGUCAGAGGUGAAAUUCUUGGAUUUAUUGAAGACUAACUACUGCGAAAGCAUUUGCCAAGGAUGUUUUCAUUAAUACAAGAACGAAAGUUAGGGGAUCGAAGACGAUCAGAUACCGUCGUAG
This 450-nucleotide ribosomal RNA is filed under the name uncultured Glomeromycotina. Its description in RNAcentral is "SSU rRNA". It matches the Rfam family "Eukaryotic small subunit ribosomal RNA", at positions 569 to 1023 of the family's 1831-position model. The record is from RNAcentral. Lineage: Eukaryota; Fungi; Glomeromycota.